This is a long non-coding RNA of Telopea speciosissima, 149 nucleotides long. RefSeq lists it as uncharacterized. The record is from RefSeq and is a predicted model, not a curated record. The transcript is spliced from 3 exons. NCBI's taxonomy places the organism in Eukaryota, Viridiplantae, Streptophyta, Magnoliopsida, Proteales, Proteaceae.
ACUUCACCAGUAUGUGGUGAUGGGACUAUGCAAAAGUUAAUGAUUUUCUUUUGCAAUUUUCAAUUUUGGUCAAUGUAAUGUGCUGUGAGGCACAAAUAACCAAGAUUUUGGAUAGAAGUCCACAUAUCUGUAGUUAGACAAACCCUUUG